UACGUAGGAUGCGAGCGUUGUCCGGAAUUAUUGGGCGUAAAGAGAACGUAGGCGGUUUGGUAAGUUUGGGGUUAAAGACUGGGGCUCAACCCCAGGAGUGGCUCGAAAACUGACAGACUAGAGGAUGGCAGAGGAAAGUGGAAUUCCCAGUGUAGCGGUGAAAUGCGUAGAUAUUGGGAGGAACACCAGUGGCGAAAGCGACUUUCUGGGCCAUUCCUGACGCUGAGGUUCGAAAGCUCGGGGAGCAAACAGG
Molecule: ribosomal RNA, 253 nt
Filed under: uncultured bacterium
Lineage: Bacteria
Description: partial 16S ribosomal RNA
Rfam family: Bacterial small subunit ribosomal RNA
Source: RNAcentral